This is a non-coding RNA of Leptonychotes weddellii (Weddell seal), 8762 nucleotides long. NCBI's taxonomy places the organism in Eukaryota, Metazoa, Chordata, Mammalia, Carnivora, Phocidae. The record is from RefSeq and is a predicted model, not a curated record.
GCAGACGGCGGAGAGCUGAGAUGGAGCGCGCCUUGGCCCGCUGGCCUUGGCCGCAGCUCCUCGGGAAUAAGCGGGGCGCCCACGCGAGAAUCUCCCCACCUGGGUCUCUUCAGGGAUGACAUCAUCCGUUCACCUCCUUGUCUUCAAGGACCACCUCUCGAUGCCACGCUGCUGCCAAGAGGACACUAGGAGCUCCGACCCCUGGAUGGCACCCACAUACAAAGCAGCCACUGGCAGAGAGCCCCCGGGACGAGGAUGAUGGAGGAUGAAGAGGACCACAUCCGACCAGCCAGCUCUCCCUCUUGGCUGAAUGCUUAAACCAUUGCCCUAGUGAGGGGGCAUUGGUCAUUAACCCCUGGCCUUUGCUAUGCUUAUGCCUUGAUGCUGUGAAUACUUUCCUCGAAGUCUCUGCUUGUGUUCAUGUGCCAGCGACCUGGAGUGUUUCCCUCCCCAAGGAGUUGUCAGUCUCUCUCCGACGACAACCCUGUUGUUGCCUGUCUGAUGUCCUGAACAGAAGGAUCCCUUUGGGAACUUCUCAGGAGGGGGACCUGGGCCAAGGGCUCCACCAGCAUCUCACUGGCAAUUCCAAGGCCCAGGGUGGGCUUCUGGAAUGAGCAUGAGCCCUGGACGCCAUGCUACCGAACUGCCAAGGGCAUCCCCACCUCUUCUCAGAUCUCCCUGUUCUUUCUGGGGAACGGGGACAAGAAGAGCAGCCUCCCAGGGUUGUUGUGAGUAUUGAAUGAGAUAAAACUGCCUCAGGCAGUGCUGGGCGUAGAGUUGGUGGUCAGCAAAUGUCUGGUGAAAAAAGUCUGGUAGGUCAGUCCCUUCCCACCCCUGUCACUCUCGUCUCAUGCUUCUCGUUUAUUCUCCCGCAGCGCUCCAGGCAGCCCCUGUCUGCGGGGCUCUCCUUGAAGCAGCCAAGCUUCUCGAAAGGCCUGUCUACACUUGCUGUCUUCCUUCCUCACCUCCAAUUUCCUCUUCAACCCACUGCUUCCUGACUUGUUCUGCUCCGUCGAACGACCCUACCUCAGGUCAGCCCUGUCCUGGGCACACCGGCUGCGACCUGGCUGGGGCCGGCCGAAGAACCAGAUGGAAGAGGCUGAAGCAGCCCCCGGAGGACCACUGGCCUGCACCACCGAGCCUGCCUUGCUGCCCGUUGCCUGACAUCUCAGGCCCAGCCCCGUGCCUCUCCCCUUCCUCCUGGUUUGGGUUGAAGACACUGUCCGGAAUCCUCCUUGGAAGGAGAGCCCUCGACACACGACCCAACACCCUCCAGCGUUCAAAUCGGCAGACUAGGAUGGAAGUGCCCUUGUGAGCUGGGGGGCUCUUCAAAGGGCCAAGGAAAAAACGCGGGCCGAGGGACCAGCCUCUCAAACGGGCUUCGAGCUCCAAUGACCUUCGCUCACCCCCUUGAAAUGUCUGGAAAACAGAAUGGGCAGAUUUUCUGUCUUCAAAGUUUCCGGCUAAACCUCUUCAAGUUCUUUAUUGUUUGGGACUGAGACACUCAGCAAUGUUUCUCCUGCUAGACUGUGAGCCCCUUAAGGGCAAGGAGCUUGCCAAAUUAAUCUUUGUACCUCCAGUGCCCGCCAUGUUGUGAAUGCUGCAUGGAUGGCGUGCCGGGUGAGACGGUCGAAGGAUGAGUGAAUGCAUGGAUGCUGAAUGUACGAUUGGCUCUCCUAGGGUCGAGCUUCUUGAGUGAAAGGCCAGGGAGUCUGUAUGGGUGUUGACUAAUUUCCGAGGGCCUCUAGCAUUUUACAAUGUCCGGUGAUGUAUUAGCAUUUUGUUAAGAUAUUGCUAGUUUAUCUCUGUUAAACAGUGUUUUUCUGUCAUAUUAACUUGCAUUGCUUUGAUUACUAAUGAAGGUUGAGCAUUUUCACAUAUACUUGUUAACCAAUUGUAUUUUCUCUUCUGUGAACUGUUUGUCCAAGUCCAUUGGGUCAUGGCUUUCUGGUGAGACUGGUCAAGGAUGGAAUGGGUGUCCUUGGGACGCAGUGAGCCCUCUGUCACUGGAGGCAUUCAAGGGGCAGGCCAGGCAGACACCUGAUGAGGGUAGUUUAAAGGAGAUUCACAUAGCAGGUGUGGGGUUGGUCUAGAUGGUCUUGCAGGUCUAUUUGACCAAGAUUUGCUUCUCCCUGGAAAUGGGGGGUCGGGACAUCUUCCAUUUGGCAGCCUGGCAACAUGUAAGAUGGCAUCCCCUGGGUGGGGGUUCAUGCAUUUAUGAUUUAUAAACUCUACACCGCACCCUCUGGAACUCUCGUGGGACAGGAAUAUCUCUUUGACCCUCCGAGGUCCAGAUAGCCAUGCCUAGCAUCUCGUGCAGUUAGCUGGUGACUUCUCACCAGCCCUGACACCCAGCCCUAUUUCCCUUUGAGGAAGCCAGCCCCCUGGACCAUCACUUUCCACCUCUUAGGGAAUCAGGAGAGGCCAUCUGCUGUCCUUUUCAUUCCCAGUGUCCUGUGAUGUGUGAGCAAAUGUCCCCGAGGCCUUAGAUGGAUGGCACGUAUUGGAUCAGGACUGGUGGAGAAUCCUUCAGGUUUUCUUCAGUGGGGCAAUUAAAUUUUGUGAUCCGAGCAGCAGGAUGGACCCCAUGGUCUUCUUCCUGGGUUUCCCCUUGUGCCCCACUACAAACGAACCUCGGCUCAAAGGCCAUCGAGACCAUUUGGCGAGGGUGUGUUCCCCACGGAGAGCUUGCCCUACCUUCCAGAACAACCCCUGCCCUCAACAGGGAGCUGCUUCUUCCCGCCGAGCCCCCUCUACUAUAGCACUGAGCGAUGUUUGCCUGCGUCAGAAUUAGUCACGCACAUGUCUGUCCCAGCAUCGAGGCUUGGGAGGCCAGCAAUGACUUCCAGCGUUGAUUUAAUCCAUCCAUCCAUUCAUCUGUGCAUUUGGCCUCCAUUUCUUGACCUGGUGCUUUGGCCUCUCCCUUCCCUGAAAGCAAGCCUUUUCAUUUUGGGCGGGCUGUGUAGCUCCACGGGCUGUGGUCAUGAAGCGAACGCCCUUAUUAGAGCUUUCUCCUCCGGGGUCACUGCUCUGAGCACGUCCCAGCUGGACUCAUCUGCCACUGUCACCCACACGGCUUCUGUCCCCAUGGUGCUUUCCCAGGCAUCACCCACCGCGGCGGGUCCAGGGCCGGGGUCCGAGAGGGCCCCCCACCCGUGAGCGGAGGUGUCCUCCCCAGGCUGCCCUGCCUGGUGCAUGGUCCCUGCCAUGAGCUUUGCCUUCAGCCUCUCUGCUUCCCCCACCCGAUGGCAGUGGUUGUAAUUCACCCCUUCAUUCCUUCAUCCCUUCAUUCCUUCACAGUCGACAAACAUUUCUUCAAAUUAGCUAGUGCUAUACUGGAGUGGGCUCCCAAGGACUCAUCCCCGAUUUCCUCCUUUUGGAAGACAAGACGAGCAUGUCUGCAAGGGGCCGUGUUUGUGUGCUAGCAAAAGGCUCGACCCUUGGUUCAGCCCCAACUUCGAGAUCCGAGUUCCGUUGGAAGUUUGAUUGCCCUCCCCGACUUUGUUCCUUACAAAACUAGGUUGAUUGGUAAUCAGCAAACCGUGUCCCUGGGUGUUCAGAAAUCAUAACCUGUGUCCUCAAGAGGCCAGAGUGAUGGCUAGGGGGUCUGAGAUGAACGGCUGCUUCCGGCUGUGAGCUGGCUUUUAAGUCAUUAGGACACCCUGAUCUUGCCCGGUGGUGAUCUUAGAGUCGUUCCUGUCCCUUUCGAAAUUAGUUAAUGCUGGGCUCUAUUUAGAGAAAACUGGGAGAGAUGAUUGCUCACGGAGGUGAUAAGGAGCAUGCCCUGUGCGGGGGUCUGCACAGAAUUUUCCGUUGGCAGACCUGGGCGUCCAAGACACAUGGUACUUCGCAAACCCUGGACGUGGCCCCAAGCAUUCACGUGGGUCCCAGGCACCCCCCCACCCCCACCCCUUUUGCUCACUGCUGCCCGUGGGGGACAAGGCAGAGGUCUUGGGGCCUCUGCUUAGAAUUCUGCUGUGUAUUCAUUGCACUGGAGAGAGGCCGUAGUGAGCAAAGCCAGGACCCUGGAGCUGGACAAACGUGUGUGGUUUAAACUGACCGUGACAGCUUGAGUCUGUCUUCUGGGACAGAAGCACCCACCUCGCAGGGCUGUUGUGAGGAUUGCUGUAACCGGGGCUUUGAACUGGGAUUCUGACCAGGUGGUGCGCGUGCCCCCGGGGGCUGCUGGGGGUGGGAUGGCAGGCCAGGUGGGGCAGCCUGACUCAGCAGGUUAGCAGGGAAUGGCUUUGCUAGACGUGCAGGGGCACCGUGGGGUAGGGUGCUAAAUUGCUUUGACAUUGUAGGGUUAGACAGGAGUAAUUUUGGCAGGGACCUUUAUGCCGGGGGCAUGGGCCUCUUUGGGCAACACCCUUGCCCCCCCUGGGGUACGCGUUCACGCUCACCUCUGUUAAAGGUUGGAAGCACCCACUGGGUCUUGCCUACCGCUGUGUCUGGCCUGUGGGCGGCACUUACACACGACCCUCCCUCCGCAAGAGAUCUCUCCUGGCAGUGUCCUCCCCGCUGAAAUAUUAGGCAGCAGCCAUCAAAGACACCGCAAUGUCCCCUCUCUCAAUUAACUUUUGGGCUCAAAUGCCAGCAGCCUGGGUGCCUAACACAGUACCAAGCCAGUGGUAGGGGUCGCCUUCCAUUUUUGUUGAAUGGAUGCAUGGGUGAAUGGCCAAAUAACGGAUUGUAACCAAAUGCAAGUGGCAGAUGUUAAAACCCUUACUAAGAGUUUGUAUUUCGCUCCUGAUUAACCUGUUAACAAUUGUUGUAUUGUAUCUUAUGGACUUCUGUAUGACUCGUGUUGUUUGAAAACCAGGAUUCUUGUUUGGGGUGUCGUGAGAUGAAACUUUUUAGCUGUCUGUGUUCUGUGUUAGGAAUUAGAACCCGGCAGACCCGGGGGGCCACCUAACUAACUGUGCAGUGCUGGGCAAGUCACUUCUCCUCUCUGACCCUUGGUCUCUCUCCUUUUCUCUGAUGGGUCACCAGAAAGCUCCCUCCACUGGGUGGUUGGGAGGCCAGGGGCUGGGUCAGCUAUAACAGAGCUGAUCAAACGCUGGCGCUCAUUGAGGAUCGUCGUAUGUUGGGGGUUGUCCGGCAGGUUCCAAGCCUUUGCGGGAUCUAAGUGAGUUGAAAGUCAGUAUUGAUUUUAUGCUCAGAUUGUAUUUCGACAGUCAAUGGAACGUGUAAGACAGAGGCUGAGCGGUCUGCAAGUAUUUAGCGAGUUGGCCCAGGGUAAAUACUGGUUUGAUUAAUGAGUGACGGCUUUUUUCCUUCCUUGGAGCCUCCCCCCCACCCCCACACCAUCCCACUUUCCAUCCAGGCUGCUGCUUCUCACGUGGAGGGGGCAGCAGGCUGGGGGGACUGCUUCGGGCUUGCUGUACCUGUUCAUGCCGUGUCUGAUGGUGUCUGAGGGCUUCUGCAGACACCUGUGUGUGCCCCGGGUCGAGUCCGCCAGGCAGGAAGAGGUUUAGAGGGGCUUCUGCUGAUGUCUUUGGGGACAUCUUCUUCUGCCCUUUAGGGGAAAGGCCCCUGUGCUCCUCAUUUCCUCACCCCUCUUCCUUCUUUCUCUGGCUGUAAGGUGAAGAAAUCGGUCUGCAGUUUCGUCUGGGGACCUGGAACCAAGCUGGGGCAGGGCUGUUAACCACCAUGCCCCGCAAGCUUCCUGCUUGGUUGGGGGUGUGGGCCCCGUUUCUCGAUGAGGGAGCUGAGAUUCAGAGAGAGCUGGGGAUCAGAGCCAGGGAUGAGCAGUCCUACCUGAGGAGCUAGUGCCCUUUGACCCUGCCAGCCAAUCUCUCCCAGUUACUGUGGCCGGCCUCUGCUGGCCCAUGUGUACCUGGCCCUGCCCCUGGCAGGGGUCACAGUGCGCCACAGCUCAGUUGGGUCCCAGUGGGCCUUGGAAGCUUGGCUGCAUUUGAGAAGAUAUUAGGGGUCAUUUCGGGUUGGGGGGUUUCUUCAGGAGACCCCUGAGUUUCUUUCCUGGCCCUUGUCUCAUGCUUGUGAGACAGAGCAUUCUGCUUUGUCAUCCCCAAACGCCAUCUGCACCCCCAGCCUCUCUCCUGUCCUGCCCUCCCUCUGUGGAAGCCUCACUGGCCUCCCCUUCUUUCUGCCUCCUGGGAGCUCUUUAUGGCCCUCACUGCUGUCCACCUGAUCAGCUCUUUCAGUUGCCUGAGAUUUUACUGUGAGGUCUGGCCUCCAGCCCUGUGCGCCCGCCUCCAGGAGCUCUGGCACCGGACUCCCCGGUACUCCCCUCCCUUGGGCUUAGCUUACGGGAUCCUCGCUGUGUCACUGUUUGCCGUCUGCCCCGUGGACAUCACACAUCCUUGAGAACAUGUCUGAGCAGAGGGGGGCCUUGCCUCAGUGCUCCCGAGGGACCCCAUGGGAGGGACAGGUACUAGGCCCCUCCUCCCAGGGGACUCUGAGUCUCUGUUCAGGUGUCUGCUCCCCGAUAGGCCUCGGGCUCCUGGAAGCUUAAGCUUGUGUGUGACCCAGGAUGAGGGAGUCUCCCAGGGGCCCAGUGUUGACAGGUCACCCACCCCUUGAAAUGGGCAGGGCUGGGUCCCCGUUUCCUGAGGGCAGGUGAGGGAGUGGAGGUUCAGUGGGGUCACAGCCAAGCUGUAGUUGAACCCUUACUCUGAGAUUUGUGCUUCUCUGACCCUUCACUUCACUAGUAGGCGCCUAACAGAUGCUCACUGACUGACGAGGCAGGGUUUUUCAUGGACGUGAAGAACUGAAUUGAUGGUCGGCUGAUAGGCAAGUUGAAUCCACAUGUGUUUCUUUAGGAGGAAAGUGUGUUUUUUUGGCAAAGACUCUUCAGGGCAAUUCCUGAGGGUCUCCGCCUAUGGUGGGGGCUUCCCCUGGGGCAGGUGCAGCCCAGAGGAGGGUCCCUCCUGAUAGAAAUGUUUGUCUUCUGCCCAUUUUUGAAGUAUUUAUGUCUAGAAUAAAACUUCAUUUAGGCUCAAGUGUCCUCGUUUGUGUUGUGGCCCAGGUGAUUUUGAUAAUGUGGCAUUUGGUAAUGCCCAGGCUGGAGGGAGGCCCUGGUAACGCCCUCCUCUGUGGCUGGCGGUGGGCCCUGAGGGUGUGGAAGUCUCCACAUGAAACGGCUUUGUUUCCAGCCCUGGUGACAACCUGUAUGGCACGUGCCGAGUGUGAGAUGCAGCCGUGGGCACCCCAAAAAUGCGGGGGGAUUGGACUCCAGACCUUGGUUCCUUUUAUCUGCUCUCACCCUCAAAGCACAGUACCUGGGCACAAGUUGAGGGAUGGGACCCUGGAGGUCUUGCUCUUUUGAAUUCUGGUCCCGGUGUCACCGUUCGCCAGGGCAAUGGCCUUGGGCAGGUUACAGGCAUCCCGAGUCUUGGUUUUCCCACCUGUAGAAUGGGUACUGAAUGAUAAUAUCCGCUCAAAGGACGCUGGUAGCCCCCGAGUGCAGGCUGCGUGCCUUGCUGCACCCCAUAUGCUGGCUCUGAGAAUCAAGGUCUGGGUUUGAGGCCACUCUGGGGCCUGUGUGUGUGUGUGUGUGGCCUGGCCAAAUUUUUGCUCACCUGUAACCUGGAAAUAGUCACGUUUACCUGGCACGGUUAUUGUGGGAUUCAAUGAGAUUGUUGAUGUGAAAAUAAAUGCUUUGUUACCUGGCACACGGGUGGCCUCGCCCCUUGUUCUCUGGUGAACCCUGGGUCUGACCACAGUGCCUGCGGCCUAUGGGCGCUGGUCACAGAAGCUCUGUGCUCCCCAGAACUACAGUGGCCCAAGCGGCUGGUGUGCGGAGUGGAGGGAGUCAGGGAAGCACGCGGCCAGCUCUGGGGAGGCAGCGAGGGAGGGAAGGGUUUGCUUUUAAAUACAGAGAUUUAGCAGGGUCAGAGGGGGUGGGGUUGAGGCCAAAGGUGUCGGGGGUGGGGGUGGGAUCAGGGAGAACUUUUAGAAACCCUCAGAGGAUGGGGAGGCUGAUAUUUUAGAGAACAACCAAGUUUAAUUGGCAGUGGUUUGGGCAGGAUAGCUGGGGUGGUGUUUAGAAAGGCCAAGAGUUCCAGAUUCUGGGUUAGUGAGGUGAGAACCUUCAGAGGUCCCGGGUGCAGGAGGGUGUCGGGACUAAGGGUAUGCUUCUGGAAAUCUCUGCAGGUGGGGGAGACUGGGGAAGUGGUGACGUGUGGGAGCCCAGAGAUCGAGGGGCACUAGCUAGAGGGGGCAGGAGCUGGUGCCUGGGUGCUCCCCUGGCCCCCCAAGGCUGCUGGGAGCUGGGGCCUUCUCCCCGUGGUGUCCAGUGGUGCCCAGUCCCGGGGGCGUCUCUCCUCUCCUCGCCCCCCUGGCCUGCCUGUCUGCAUGAGAACUUGUCAGCCAGUGAGACCGGGAGCGGGCCCCUUCAUCUGCACCUGUGUCUCUCCCAGCCUCCGCAGCCACAGGGACACCCUGCACACGCUCCUGCGGGACAGGCCGGACCCAAAGACUCUGCACCAGGGCCGCCCCCUGCGAGGAGGGGCAUGCCCUCCCGGCCUCUCCUUGCGUAGCCACCCGCCCUCUGACUGAUGGACUGCACUGAUCUGAGGCUCAGACACGCGGGCUGGACCCCUACCCACCCCUCACGAACCCUGAGACUUGGGGGAGCCACCGAGCCUUCACUUGUCCACACCUGAGGAGUGGGCUCGGACACCUACCUCACAGGGUUGUUGUGAGGAGCGAGUGAUGUGGUUUGAAAGCGCCUGACCUGGGGCUUGGCACACCCUUUUGUGCUCUCAAUAAAUGUGUUUCUUGCCUUAACAAAAACA